ACGGCGAGUGAGCGACAAAAGCUCAAAUUUGAAAUCUGGCGCCUUCGGUGUCCGAGUUGUAAUUUGAAGAAGGUAACUUUGGUUUUGGCUCUUGUCUAUGUUCCUUGGAACAGGACGUCACAGAGGGUGAGAAUCCCGUGCGAUGAGAUGCCCAAUUCCAUGUAAAGUGCUUUCGAAGAGUCGAGUUGUUUGGGAAUGCAGCUCUAAGUGGGUGGUAAAUUCCAUCUAAAGCUAAAUAUUGGCGAGAGACCGAUAGCGAACAAGUACAGUGAUGGAAAGAUGAAAAGAACUUUGAAAAGAGAGUGAAAAAGUACGUGAAAUUGUUGAAAGGGAAGGGUUUGAGAUCAGACUUGGUAUUUUGUAUGUUUUACUCUCGGGUGAGGCCUCUGCAGUUUACUGGGCCAGCAUCAGUUUGGAUGGUAGGAUAAUGACAUUGGAAUGUGGCUCUUCGGAGUGUUAUAGCCCUUGUUGAUACUGCCUAUCUAGACUGAGGACUGCGUCUUUGACUAGGAUGCUGGCAUAAUGAUUUUAAACCGCCCGUCUUGA
This 546-nucleotide ribosomal RNA is filed under the name Scheffersomyces coipomensis. RNAcentral describes it as "LSU rRNA". It matches the Rfam family "Eukaryotic large subunit ribosomal RNA", at positions 86 to 657 of the family's 3401-position model. Lineage: Eukaryota; Fungi; Ascomycota; Pichiomycetes; Serinales; Debaryomycetaceae. The record is from RNAcentral.